CGGCAUCAAUGAAAAACUAGAAUCAUUCGAGUUGUGGGUGUAUUGGGACCGUGCAAGUUUGGAAAAGCGACAUCUGGUUUCAUAGCUCGGCAACUUUUUUCGCACUUUUAAUUAUAUUGGCCAGUCAUAUUGGUCCUGGUUGCUGGAUAAUUGUCAAGGCCAUAGUCCAAAAAAAAUUAUAAGAAGAUAAAGUAAGACUGAGGUUAUGCUGAUUUUUUUUACAACAUUUUCCGUACAAUUCUUUGAGACUAUUACUUUAAUUACUAAGCUGAAGCUUGUUUUCUUCAGUUUUUCAUAGACCCACCUGCUUGUGGUGAUUAGGUACAGAUUGGUAUUCUUUUUGCUUUGGUGGAAUUGAGAGCUGAGACAAAACUGAGCAUCGGAAUCUGAAGCUAGCGAGUGUAAUGUUCUUCUUCUUGUAGUGCCUAUCCGUUUUGGAUGUUGGCGACCAUCAUGUCAAUCUGUACUUUGCACACUGCUGCUCUGAAAAUAUUUGUAGUGGUUGUGUUGAACCACGUACGUAGAUUUUUCAGCCACGAAAUCCUUCGCCUUCCUGGUCCUCACUUUCCCUCUACUUUUCCCUGUAAGACCAGUUGCAGCAGUCCAUAUCUUUCACUGUUCCUCAUGAUGUGAACGAGGUAUUCGAUUUUGGCUGUUUUUAUUUUGAUUAACAGCUCUUUUUCUUUUUGCAUUCUCAGCAAAACACCCUCAUUAGUAAUGUGGUCGGUAUAAGAUAUCUUCAGGAUUCGACGAUAAAGCCACAUCUCAAAAGCCUCAAUUUUCUUGCAGGUGGCGUCUGUGAGAGUCCACGACUCAACUCCGUACAACAGUAUAGGAAAGAUAUAACAUCGUAGUAAUCUGACUUUUAUGGGUAUCGACAAAUCAUGACAUUUGAACAACUUUACCAUUUUUUGAAAUGCAGAUAUUGCUUUCUCUAUCCUACAUUUGAUUUCUAUAGAAUGGUCCCAAUUUUCAUUGACGUUCUUACCAAGGUAGGUAUAUGUUUUUACUCUUUCUAUUUGUUGACCAUUCACACUGAUUCGUCCAAAUUGCAGUUUGUUCUUAGAGAUAAUCAUACAUUUUGUUUUCUUAGGGCCGGUUGUUCGAACGCUAAUCAAAACUGAUCAUUAUCAAAUAUUUAAUUACAAUUAUAUUUGAUUAAGCGUACUUCUGACAGACGUCGCAUUUUGAGGUUAUGUUGACUGAUUUAUUUUAUUAUUUUGGUUUUAAUUUAAAAUAAAACAUAAUUAAACUCUUUCUGAUGUUAAUUUCUUGUUUUUACUUACAAAUCAAUAAUAAUAAUAAGCAAUUUUUAAGAAUUUAAGAGCUGCGGCUAUAUUUUAAUUACUGUUUUACCUACAAUCAAUAACUGAUUAGUGUUAUACAUGUAUUUUUCAUGUCGCGAUUUGAUUCCCAUCAAGAAAAUUGAUUACAAUAAAUGAUUGAUUAUAAUCAACUUCUUGAUUAGCGUUCGAACAACCGGCCCUUAGUGUUUAGUGAAAGUCUGUAUCUCUGACUGACUUCUGCGAUUCUGUUCAUUAACUCCUGUAGGGCUUCAGAACUGUCAGCGAAUACCACAGUGGUUUAAUGUAAGUUCCAAUAAAUAAUUUUAGACAAUAUAUUGUAUUGUAGUUAAGUGAUUACUGCAUAAAUAGUUAUAUAAAA
Molecule: long non-coding RNA, 1665 nt
Filed under: Diabrotica virgifera virgifera (western corn rootworm)
Lineage: Eukaryota; Metazoa; Arthropoda; Insecta; Coleoptera; Chrysomelidae
Description: uncharacterized LOC126881286
Source: RNAcentral